GAGGGUAGAGCUCAGUGGUAGAACACAUGCUUAGUGUGCACGAGGUUCUGGGUUCAAUCCCCAGUAUCUCCA
Molecule: transfer RNA, 72 nt
Filed under: Camelus bactrianus (Bactrian camel)
Lineage: Eukaryota; Metazoa; Chordata; Mammalia; Artiodactyla; Camelidae
Also listed under: 2 other names
Rfam family: tRNA
About the family: Transfer RNA (tRNA) molecules are approximately 80 nucleotides in length. Their secondary structure includes four short double-helical elements and three loops (D, anti-codon, and T loops).
Source: Rfam by way of RNAcentral